GUGGUGGCACAAAAUCGGAAGCCCCGACUGUUUACUAAAAACACAGCUAUCUGCAACGAUGUAAAUCUUAGUAUAGGUAGUGAGGUUUGCCCGAUGCCAUUAAUAUAAGAGAAGUGAUGGGUAACUGUUAAUUAUCGAAAAUCUGGUUAAUAGCGGUCUUAACUAUGAGGAUCCUAAGGUAGCAAAAUAAAUUGGCCAUUAAAUGUGGUCCGGUAUCAAUAAUUUAACGAUGGCUUCACUGUCUCUACAACUUGCUCAGUGAAAUUGAAUUACCCGUGCAGAUGCGGGUUGCCACCAGGNGGNACGG
This 307-nucleotide ribosomal RNA is filed under the name Rhizopogon smithii. RNAcentral's name for it is "LSU rRNA". It matches the Rfam family "Bacterial large subunit ribosomal RNA", at positions 1773 to 2083 of the family's 2925-position model. Lineage: Eukaryota; Fungi; Basidiomycota; Agaricomycetes; Boletales; Rhizopogonaceae. The record is from RNAcentral.